Molecule: long non-coding RNA, 620 nt
Organism: Ostrea edulis (European flat oyster)
Lineage: Eukaryota; Metazoa; Mollusca; Bivalvia; Ostreida; Ostreidae
Exons: 2
Source: RefSeq, a predicted model, not a curated record
CGUGUUUCGAGUUACUCCGGAACACCCGGGAUUUUUCGUAUUUAGCCACGCCGGUCACGUGAUAUGAGCAAAAUGUUCCACAGGGGUACUUCCGGUUAAUUUUGUUUACACUGGUAACAAAAUUGUUUUUGACAAAAUAUAGAUUUUGCGGCACAAACUGUCGCAAAUCAGAUAAAGGAUAGCAAGGGAUAUAUAUUUACUUGGGAAGAUGUCAAAGUUUACCUUUUCCCAAACCCGGGAAAAGCGUUCACGCAGAGGAAACGAUGGCGUCAUUUGUGUAGAAAACCACGAGCAGCCGAAAUUGAGUGCGAUUAUUACAUUCCGUGAAAGCUGAACCAACAAAGAAACAUCAUUGUUCUAGCCAGUUUGCUUAUAUUAACUUUUAGGAAAACCAAGAGGUUGAUAACAAUGGCUGAUCUGCAUAUAAUGACUGCUAGUUAUUGGCUGGUAUGCAGUGAAAGGGAGCUAAAAAGGAGUAAAAAGUUCAUAUCAGCCAGGUGAGAAUUAAUUUCUUCUUUUUUGUGUGUUAUACAUAUGUAAUUCUUUUCUUUUGCUGCUUCAAAUCUUGUGUAUUUGAAAAUUUUCAGUCUAAUAUUUGGCAAUGUUAUAGGUAGUGUGGU